RNAcentral lists this long non-coding RNA (1107 nucleotides) under Homo sapiens (human). Its description in RNAcentral is "PREDICTED lncRNA (TCONS_00262995)". The record is from RNAcentral. Lineage: Eukaryota; Metazoa; Chordata; Mammalia; Primates; Hominidae.
CUUCUGCUGGGGGCAUGUGCAGGCAUGGAGACUGCCCGGCCCCUUCCUGUCCUGUUGGGGCAUGAUUUUCAACAGAGGGAGGAUUCUGGGCAUGUUUUCCUUUGGAAGUCUCACCAGGCUGAGCAGGACUUAGAGGAACUCCGGCUACGUUUGCUGUCCCAACAAAUAGACCAGGGUUCCCUAAGUGUCGCUUCCUCCAAGAAGCCCUCCCUGAUGAGUUGAGCCACUUUAGUUUGUGCUCAGGCUCACCCUGCACGUCUUGGUUGCUCUCAUCACUGUAAUGAUCUAAAACACACGUCUGCUCAUGAGACCCGCAUCCCACCCCCGAUGCUGGGGCCGCUCUUGGAUUUUCAUGCCUGCUGCCAGCACCCAGGGGGAGCUCCGGAAAUGUCUGCUGGGGGCUCGGAAUACCCACCUUUCUGGUAAUGCAGCCCAGCGGGUCCCAGCCUCGUUUUCCAGCCCUCACUCAAAAUGGAGUCGCUCUGGUUCGAACGCCUCUGACAAGUGUGUACCUACGUGUCAGGCCCAUCCUUCCUGCAGGCCUUUGUCUUGGUGUCACCCUGCCUGAGCUGGCCCCAACCACAGUAGCAACAGUGAUGCUGAUGUGUGACUGCUGCCAGGAGCCUGCUCACAUGACCGUGUGGAGAAAGUUCUUUCCCUGAGGACCAUCUGGAGUGGACGCGUGCACUACCCCUCUCUGAAUACACCCUCCCCACGAGGCCCUCUGGAGCAUCCUGUAGAGCCAGCCCCUACCCAGAGACCCUGAGCCCAGAGAAUGCGCUGGGUGGUGAGCCUGGGGACGAAUGCAGAGCCCUAGGUCUCCUCUCCAGAAAGACCGGAUUUUGCCAUGUUGGCCAGGCUGGUCUUGAACUCCUGACCUCAAGUGAUCCACCUGCCUCGGCCUCCCAAAGUGCAGGGAUUACAGGUGUGAGCCACUGCACCCGGCCUCAGGCAGGUAUUUUUACCAGCCGAAUACUCUUGCACUGUGCACUCUUCGUGUUCAUCAUCAGUCCCCCGGAUGGGUGUUUAAGGCAUUUCCAAAGCUCUGUUAUUAAAAACACGAUGCAAUGAGUUUCUUUCAGCAUUUCCCCUUGUUGCCGUGUGAAU